GGCGGCAUGUCAAAAUGGCAGGCAUCUUUUUCUACAAGAAGAACGAAACUGACGAAAGAUUUUCAGAAUUUCAUUGGCAAGAUAAAAACAAGAAACUGAUCCAUAUAAUUUUCUCUGGUUUUUACUGUGAAUUCUUCUGAGUUCUGACUGCAUAUUUUCUAACUGCCACCGAUGGUUCAGCCAUAAUGUACAACAGCUUAAUCUUGCUGCUUCUAGAAAAAUACUAGUAAUGAUUAUAAUUUUUUGUCUUGUGUACAAUAUCUUUCAGCAAGGACUAAGGUCCUUCUUUUUUAAGGGAGUAAGGAGAAGUGAGAACCAAAGAUAAUCCUCUAUUAAUUCUUAUUCAUGCAUAUGUGAGAUUGUACAAUCUGCUAUACUAAUUGAUAGUGUCAGUACUGUCUCUAAUUUUAUGCAACUUAUA
RNAcentral lists this long non-coding RNA (421 nucleotides) under Medicago truncatula (barrel medic). RNAcentral describes it as "lncRNA gene18075". The record is from RNAcentral. Lineage: Eukaryota; Viridiplantae; Streptophyta; Magnoliopsida; Fabales; Fabaceae.